AUGGCCUCCGCCGUGCCGCCCUCCUCCUCCGCUGUCAAGAUCCUCCCCAACGCCUUUUUCCCCCGCUCUCACCACCACCCUUCGGCCUGCACCUCCCUUCGCUCUAAGAACCGUACCAGCACCCGCGUCACCUGCGCAGCUGGCCGUCGAUCCCACGCCCUCCCCUCCGCCGGCGACGGAAACGGUUGUAACAAUGGCGGCGGCGGCGGCGGCGGAGAUGACUCCGAAGGCGGCGGCAACGGAGAUGGCUCCGACGGCGGCGGCAACGGAGAUGGCUCCGACGGCAACCGCGGGGCGGCGCUGUUCGCGCGGCCACAGGAUUGGUGGAGGGCCGACCUGGUGGCGGCGGUGGAGGCCCCGCAGCUGCUGUGCUUCGAGAGCCUCCUCACGGACGACGUUUUCCCCGUCAGGACCGCCGCGGCAAUCAGCUUCAACGCAAUAGCAAAGACUGCAGCAGAGUAUGAAAAGAGAGGGGAGAAUUUUAUCAAAGAGAUUGACAUCGUCAUCGCUGAUGCGGUUAAGGCAAUAGCUACAAAUUUUACGCUUGUCUAUCUACCAACUAGUAUAUCUCUGCAGCCACCACUUGGGAACAAGAUUGCUUUGGUUGCAAGAUUGUACUUAUAUCUGAACGGGCUAGUAACAAUUGCGAGUACCGGCCCAAAGUUUUUCACAGUUGGAGCCAGUGCUUCUCCGCCUUCCCAGAUUGACGCUGGUGUGCCCCAAGCACCAAUCAUAACAAGGAAGGCUUUCAUCCAGGAACUUGAUGACAAAGCUGUGGAAAAGAAGUGGUCGUCAUACUUUGAAGUUAAAGCAGAGGUCUCAGCUGGGACAACUCCCGCAAAGGCUACAGCACUUUGGUCAUACAGUUCGUCUGGAGAAUCCCAGGGGAAUUCGUCUGGACAAUCCCGAGAGAAUGGAACAGCCUAA
RNAcentral lists this ribosomal RNA (927 nucleotides) under Triticum aestivum (bread wheat). RNAcentral describes it as "partial small subunit ribosomal RNA". The record is from RNAcentral. Lineage: Eukaryota; Viridiplantae; Streptophyta; Magnoliopsida; Poales; Poaceae.